Long non-coding RNA from Hermetia illucens (black soldier fly), 704 nucleotides. RefSeq lists it as uncharacterized. The transcript has 3 exons. The record is from RefSeq and is a predicted model, not a curated record. Lineage: Eukaryota; Metazoa; Arthropoda; Insecta; Diptera; Stratiomyidae.
CUGUUUUCUACUUUCAAUUCAAACAAUGUCAAAGCGACAUUUUGCAGUUCUAUGGUCUUCGCAAACUUUACAGAAAGAAAUAUUUUGGCAUUUUUAAUAUCUGGUUUAUUACUAUAAAAUUCGUUUUCUGUUUUGUUUUAUCGUCCUAAGCUAAAUUCCACUUGAUCCUACUUGGUUGCCUCGGUAUAAACUUUUUAUUGAUAACUGGUAAAAAGAGGCAAUAAAAUAUAUGUUCAUAACAGAAAAGGAGAAGAAAACUGGAAAGUAAAAUGCCAGUUGCAGUGCACCUUGUAGAAGUUUUGACUUUGAUAACUGCUUUGGGAAUUCUUGUGGCAUUUACUUUUUUUAUCGUCGCGGCUGAUAGAAUUCUCUACCUGGCUCUACUUAUAGUCCAGCCUUUAUCGAUUCUGUUCACAACCAUUAUGUACAAAGCGGAACAGAUUCUACUGUGGAUAUUAAAUAGAAUCCUGUACGUAGCUGGAAAUGUCGGUACAUCACUCGGAUGUUCAUCUAACGACUGUUCUGGCGGAAAAUAAUUUUUAUAGAUAUUUUUAAAAUGUUAUUUCGAACUUGGGCAAGUUAAGUGAAAUUUACUAGUAUGCACUGCCCUUCCUGAAGCGAUGUGAAAUGUUAAAAGUUGAGCAUGUACAUUAUGCUUUUUUCUUGUUGACCAAUAAAUUAUGAAAACUCCUUUUGGAAGAAAA